GUCUCUUCGGGGACAUCUGAUAAAAUUGGAACGAUACAGAGAAGAUUAGCAUGGCCCCUGCUCAAGGAUGACACACACAAAUCGAGAAAUGGUCCAAAUUUUU
Molecule: small nuclear RNA, 103 nt
Organism: Beta vulgaris subsp. vulgaris (sugar beet)
Lineage: Eukaryota; Viridiplantae; Streptophyta; Magnoliopsida; Caryophyllales; Amaranthaceae
Source: Rfam